Molecule: microRNA, 25 nt
Filed under: Canis lupus familiaris (dog)
Lineage: Eukaryota; Metazoa; Chordata; Mammalia; Carnivora; Canidae
Description: cfa-miR-8862
Source: miRBase by way of RNAcentral
UGCUGAGCGUUGGCCGGUGGCCCUC